GUCCCCUUCGUCUAGAGGCCUAGGACACCGCCCUUACACGGCGGUAACAGGGGUUCGAAUCCCCUAGGGGACG
RNAcentral lists this transfer RNA (73 nucleotides) under Proteus vulgaris. RNAcentral describes it as "tRNA-Glu". It matches the Rfam family "tRNA". Rfam says of the family: Transfer RNA (tRNA) molecules are approximately 80 nucleotides in length. Their secondary structure includes four short double-helical elements and three loops (D, anti-codon, and T loops). Lineage: Bacteria; Pseudomonadati; Pseudomonadota; Gammaproteobacteria; Enterobacterales; Morganellaceae. The record is from RNAcentral.